AUUUAUGUAACGGACUCUGUGAGAUCAGAGACAAGGAGUAAAAUGCCUGAGCUCAAGUGACAACAAGCAACCCCAGACUAGAGACAGGAUCCUUCUCCCCACUUCGAGCAGAUCCCAGCAUGAAUCCUGCAGUAUGGUGAUGGCAAAAGUCAGUGCAGGACCACUGGGACUCCUGGAGCUUCUCACAUCUCUGAGAGCACCAGCAGCAGAAAACAUCGCCCAUUUCAUCUGUUUCUUCAGUCCCCAGAUAGCAGAUGACUGGUAGGAAGAUGAGGCAAGUUUGCGGUCCAUUGUCAUGGAUAGUGGAGACAACACUGGGCCAGAAGUGGUAAGACCUGAAUCCAAGACUCAGCUCUGCCACUUGCUAAAUGGGACUUUGAAUAAACCAUUUCUCUGCACUUAAGUUCCUUACCAACAAAACGAGGGAAGUGGCCUACAUGCCUAGAUAUCAACAUUUCAUGUCACGUAGAGAUCUAGCAUCACAAGAAUCCAAGUCAUCCUCUGUUGCCUUUAAGAAAUUAGAAUUAAAGGAAUCAGAAUUGAAGUGAAUCUGACUACACUAAGCCUAUCACUUGUGACAGCCAUGGGAAGAUAUCAUUGGUUGCUGAGGAGCAGAAAUAAGCAGAGACCUAUUGUGUUAGGUUAUCAUUCAUUUCAGACAAAAAGCAGAUCAGCAAGUUUUCAUAUUGCACUAUUUUCAAUGGCUGGAGCAUCAACAUUUUACAACAAGAAAAAAAUUAAAAUUCUUCAACAUUUGGAAAAGAAGUGUUUGUAAAACUUUUCACAUCCAUUCACCAUCCGGAAAAGCAAGGUUUUACAGUGAGGCCUGAUGAUGUCUAGAGUCACCAUGCAUCUUGGAAAAUGACCUCCUAUUUAUUUCUUCUACAGGACACCAUGGUGUUCACCUUUCUACAACUUUACACUUGCUGAGGACAUAUUGUGGAAAAUUAAGAGAAAUAUAUAUGGAUGGCCAAGGCUGUAGAUGGAUGUCCAAGCCUUUUUACUGGGGAAUGUUUUCAGAACAAAAUGAGUUACAGGUUCAAGAGUGAAACCCAACAAAUCUUGGCUCUUUUUUUCUCUACUAAAUUCCAAAUCAAAAGUAUUUAUGGAGUGCUUUUAAUGUGCCACGCACUGGGCUAGAGAUUCAUAAUUUUGAUGGGAAUCUGUGUAUUCAAACUCUUUUAACGUGGAAACCUUGCUUGUGCAAGGUCCUCCCAGAUCUUAUCCUACUUUAUCAAAGCUUGGCUAAAUGCAACAUGUCUUCUCCCCAGUGCCCUGGGUCUCUGUACACGCAGUAAAGUGGUCCUUAGACAUAUGCUGAAAUAGGGCUUAAUUUUCCCCAUAUACGAAUGAGAUAAAUUCUACUACAUGUAGCCAGACUUCGAUAGGGAGAACACCCAAAGUCACUUAAAAUAAAACUACACUUUCAUUUUUGCAAGCCAAAUAAUCCUGGAGGAAAUUGUGCUAAUUUUUUUUUCAAAUUUUCAGUUUACACAUUGGAGUUUUGACUUCAAUAUGUAAAAAGUGCAUGAAAAUGAAUGUAGUGCAUCUUUCCUCAUAUGCUCUGCAGUGAUGCGAACUGACUGCAUGGCUAGCUGGUCACCUGAUAAAGGGCACACAGAGAUUCUUGUAGUUCAUUAGGGAUUACUCCGAGGUUGAACACAGGUUUUUCUUUUUCUCAGAUAUAUAGGUAAGACUUGAACUUCAAUUUCCUGCAUAGUGAAUAUGGUUUCUAUUGUCAUGAUUGAGCUUUUUUCAUUUUAAACACUGAGAGCUUCUUUUGAGUUUGUGGGACCCACGCUUUUGGGCAAAGACUGCUUUCUCAAGGCACAUAUGUUCAGAUGUUCAGGUCAUGAUGCAGAGGUAUCAGCUGGGAGGUGCCCCAGGUAAGUUUGCUACUAAACUUCACCCACCCUCAUCUGAGAGGCCACGUCUCUUCCCCUGAGUCUGGGGAUCAUGACACUUUAUAUGUCAGCUACUUUCUUUUUUCGUUUUAUUUUAUUUUAUUUUUGAGAUGGAGUCUCACUCUGUCUCUCAGGCUGGAGUGCAGUGGCACAAUUUUGGCUCACUGCAACCUCUGCCUCCCAGGUUCAAGUGAUUCUUCUAACUCAGCCUCCCAAGUAGCUGGGAUUAUAGGUGCACGCCACCACACCCAGCAAAUUUUUGUAUUUUUUUUUUUUUAGUAGAGACAAGGUUCUGCCAUGUUGGCCAGGCUGGUCUCGAACUCCUGCCCUCAGGUGAUCCGCUCGCCUCGGCCUCCCAAAGUGCUGGGAUUACAGGUGUGAGCCACUGCACCCGGCCACAUCAGCUACUAUUUAAUGAACAUCUUUCCCUGGACAAGAACAAAACUCAAAGAAAUCCAACAGAUUGCAACUUAGUCCUGGGGAGAGAAAAGUCCACAUGUUAAGCAGAAAGCUGAACCACAUAGAAUUCAACCUUUGGUGCCGCUAGUGUUGACAAGGAAGGAUAGAUUCUCUGAGCUAGAGUAAUAAAGAAAGAGAAAUGAGAAACUAGUAUAUCUCCAAAGGUUCUCAAAGUAUUAUUCCUGGACCAGUAGCAUCAACAUUCCCUGAAAAUAUGUUGGAAUUAAAGAUCUCAGCCUCCACCCAGACUUACUGAAUCAGAAAUUCUGGAGCAGGGUCCACUAAUCCUUGUUUUAGUCUUCUGGGUGAUUCUGAUACACACUCAAGUUUGAGACCCUCUGUCUAGCUACACCAUGCUCUUUUUACUUCAACUCAUUAUCCCCACAACAUGAUGCCAUAAUAUAGGAGAUUACAUAGUGUCAGGCUUUGCUUAACUUAGGCUAAGUCUUUAGAUAGAUACAAAGAGGUCAUUCAAUUAGUGGUACCUAUUGGAUAGGGCUCUUAUACCAUCCAUUUUGUUCCGGCAGUUCUUAGCUCAGUUCCUGGGACACAAUAAAUGAUUAACAAAUAGAUAACUAGUUAUUGAAUGAGUGUGGAUUGAUGAAGUUUGAGUAUACACACACACACACACACACAGACACACACAAUGUGAGCCAUACAAGAGAAUGAACGGGAAAGCAAAUUUCUUCUUGAAUACUCAUAAAAUCAGCUUUUAAUACCAAAUAUUAUUUCUUUAGGCCAUAUCCCACUGGAGCCUGAAUUGCUACAAUAGCAUUCUGGAGAUUUUCCUCCUUUCUAGUAUUGGCCUAUCCUAAUGUAUUACAUAACUAGCUUUCUGGAAAAUAUUCCUCAAGGAUCACUUGCUUGCAUAACUUACUUUAGAAAUUCUUCAGUGUUUGAGUGUGUAGUUCUUUCUGUGCUGUGUGCCCAUUGUAUCUUGUGAAUUCCUGUCUACUAAGGUAAAUAUCUGUCCACAUGUCUCAUUCCUUCACUAAACUAAGAAAUCACUGUAAAGAAAAAUGUAUUAGUCUGUUCUCACACUGGUGAUAGAGACAUACCCAUGACCAGGCAAUUUACAAAAGAAAGAGGUUUACUGGACUUACAGUUCCACAUGGCUGGAGAGACCUCACAAUCAUGGCAGAAGGUGAAAGUCACGUCUCACAUGGCAGCAGACAAGAGAAGAGAGCUUGUGCAGGGAAACUCCCCUUUUUAAAACGAUGAGAUCUCAUGAGACUUAUUCACUAUCAUGAGAACAGCAUGGGAAAGACCUGUACCCAUGAUUCAAUUACCUUUUACUGGGUCCCUCCCACAACAGGUGGGAAUUUAAGAUGAGAUUUGAGUGGGGACACAGCCAAACCAUAUCAAAAAAUAAUUUAUUAAUUACCUUGUAUGAUUCUUUUUCCUAUUCCUGGGAUUUAGCACUGUUCCUAAAAUGACUUAUAAAAAUAUUUCAUGUGUAUUUAUGUAUAAGUACCACACACUAACAGAUUGCCCCACUGGAGCACCCAAUUUGUGUUUAUUUAAUCCGUGAAAACGAUUAGUUCCUGGCCAUGAAGUUUAUGCUCCUCCCAUAAUUUUAUGCCAGUUUUUCAGCCUUGUGAAUUUCCUCUUUUAUCCAUCACCUCAAUUAUUGUUUUUACAGGUGGAGUCUCACUAUGAUGCCCAGGCUGUACUUGAACUUCUAGGCUCAAGUGACCUUCCCACUUGAGCCUCUGGUAGCUGAGACUACUGGGGUGUGCCACCUUGCCUGGCUUCUCCUCUCACCUUUAGCUCAACAAGUCCUCUUGGAGUCCUCCUCUUACUCAAGCAGUGCUCAAGCCACCACUGGGUCAUACUUUACAUACCUUAGGGUGGCACUGUAUUUGAGGGUUCACAUUUAAAUGUGCCAAAUGCAUGCAAAGCCUGGUUUACAUUUAGGAGCUUUAUAUUUUUUUUGGCUUAAGGUCUGGUCUAUCUGGUCUAUAUGAAAAAUAGACUUCUUGAGCAGCCCCACCCUUUCUCACUUACAAACUUGUUCAUAAUUGGGCUUUAAAUAAAUAAAUAUUUACUUACUUAUUUACUUAAUGAGGUUGACAGCUUGGUGAGAUGUUUGACAAUGAUAAUUUCAAUAAUUUCUGUCAUUUUUAGUUCCAAGAGGAACCAUCACCCAGUUGAAACUGUGAACCUCUCUCACAAAGUCUAAGUAGCCCUUGAUUCAAGCUAUGGGCACCAGUCUCCACAUAAUCUACUCAGAAGCACUGUAGUGUGGAAAUUGGCAAUGUCUGCCUUCUCCAAAUCAUUCAAUAGAGUUUCAGCUUUUCUCAGGCAUUCUGCAUAUUUAUAAAAGUUAGCUCGAUGCAGUAUUCCAAUAAAACCACCAAUUAUAUGCCUUUCAAAGGAUGUCAUCUUCUGAAAGCGUUCCACAUGGCUAUAAUCUUAUUACCUCUGGUUGAAGUAGUCACAGACCAAACUAAACGGUGAGUAGAGAUUGGUUAUAGGGAUUAUUUUUCCCAUCAGAGUCAGUGUAAGUGACUGCCCUCUCCCUUGUGGUAUGUUUCAGUCCUGACUUGACUAGUGAAGCCACUCCUACAGAUUUCAAACUCUUUGCCAGGGUAGGAAAACACAGGUUGGCUUCACUUCAUCCUCAGCCUCCUAACUUCCUUUUAAGUAACCAUGAGAUAUAUUUAGGAACUGCUGGUUUCUGAGCUAAUACCCAUGAGGCACCAAGGCAAAAAAAAAAAAAAAAGGCAAGUUAAACACACUAAAACUGCUGGCCAUCUCUUAACCAUUCAUUGCACAUGUAAAUUUCACUUGCAUUUUUUCUUUUGCAUUUGCUGGUACUAUUUUCACUUUUAUAUCCUAAAUUCGUGUGGUAAGAGGUCCUUUUAAAGCAUAAGGCAAAGUAGCAUAGGGUGGAAAGUUACAGAUUUUAGAGAAAGGUAGACAUGGCUUUGCAAACUAGCUCUAUUACUUAUUACAUCAAGAAUCCCAGAGAAGUUUCUUCUCUAAUCUUCCUAAAUGUUCUUAUGUGUAUAUUAAGGGUAAUGAUUCCUAUCUUACAGUAUUAAUGCGAAUUCACUGAAGAUUCAUUCAUUCCCCAAAUGUUUAUGUGCCCUUACAGGAACUGGACCAAGGGAAGAGGACACAGAAGGUAAAAGGAAGCCAGACCAGCAUGUUCUCCCACUCUAGUGCUCCUACCAAGAGGCUUUGAUAAGCAAUCACAAUUGUCCCCAGUGACAUGAAAGAAAAAGUGAAGCACCCUGUAGGGAUGCAUAGCAUGACAUCUACGUAGACUUGGGUCAUGGAAGGAAACUGUCACCACAUACAAGUUCAAGGGAAAUGUUCAGCCUCCAGGCCGCUGAAUGAAGCUCUGCCCAGGCCUUAGGAAAAGGUGAAACCCCAACUAGCAGGGGCCCCAGUUCACCAUAUCCAGGAAGGUGUCCUUGAACCAGAAAUACCCACGUUGUACUCCGACAUGAACAAGAAAUAGAUUUCUAUUAUAUUAAGCAACAGAAAUUUUCAGAUAUAUCAGUUCUCGCAGCAGGAAGGAUGUAUUGAUAAUGGCAACAUGGAUGGAGCUCAAAACAUCACAUUUAAUGAAAAAAGAGACUUACAUAAAAAAAUUAUAGACUAUAUUAUUACAUUCAAAUGAAGUUCAAGAACAAGCAAAAGUUGUGGAAAAAUAUCAGAAAACUUGCUUCUGCUGGAGGGGUAGGAUGGGAUUUGACUGGGAAGAGGCCUAGGGGAACAUGCUGGAAUGAUAUUAAUGUUCUAUUUCUUGAUGGAGGUUUGGGUUCCACAGGUGUAUGUAUUUGCUAAAAGUUAGCAAAUGUAGAGUUAAGGUUUGUGUUCUUCCUUGUGCAAUACAUUUUACACCAAAGGAAAGGCUGUAAACAAAUAUUGAACUGUAGUUAAUCAUAUGUAUGGAGAAAAACUUAAGGAAAAGACUUAUGAAUGCCUCAAGUUUAUUUAAAAAAGCAUUAAAAAUAAGAUUAAACAGGUAUUUAUGGAUAAACUACUGAAACUGAGAGAUAUUAACAGUAAAUAGUCAAAAUGUUCACUGUAAGAAUGAAAUUGAAAGGGAUUUGAACCCAGGUCUGUUUCACUGUAAAUCCUUGCUCCUGUGCUCUCUCAUGUUUAUUGGAAUUCAUGGGUAGAAAAUUUAAAUGCUCUGAAUCACUAUGAGAAGAAAGAUUCAGGAAAAAAAAAUGAAAGGCUAGAUUUCCAAAGAUAAGCCAGGUAAAUAUCAUGGAGAGUUGCAACAAUGUACUGCUAAUUAACUCUAAUACUUAGAGCUAAUGUCGAGUUUUCUGAGGGUUGUGACAUUCAUACAUGACUAAUUAACCUACACAGCAAAUCCAUUUCACUAGCUGCCAUGACACAGCCAAUCAAGACUAGCUCACUGUUUGCUCAUUUGGAAAAUGAUGAGGAUUCCCAUUUAGACUUAAUUACACUACAAAGAUUGACAAUUAUCUUCUCUAUAGAAGCAUCAGAUGUUUCGAUAUUAUACUGAACAUGUGCCUAUAAUUAUGUCCAUAAUUUGUCUAGCAGAAAAUGUAACCCAGUCAUUACUGAGAUCUUAUGCCUGUAAUUAGAUAUCAAAAAAAAAAUACCAAAUGGGAAAAGUGGGUUGUUGGGAUGUUAGGACCAUUACAAUGUGAGAAUCUGUAUGAAGCUAUUAGUGGGAACUCAGUAGCAACCAACAUCUCUUGGAUUGCUGCCCUCUAUUAAAAAUAAUCAGGAAGUGUGAGAGAGGGGAAAAUGAUGGCAGAGUAAAACCAUAGUACAAUCGCUUUUCCAAUACUUGACUGCAGUCAUUAAAAAUCCCAUAGGCACCUCAAAUUCAACACAUUUGAAACCGACUCAUUAGCCACCUUUGCCCCACUAUAGCUACUCCUUUUCCUGUGUUUGCUUUCUUAGACGAUUGCAAAGCAUUGUAGAGUCAUCUGCAACAAUUGUUCUCUCACUCCUUUCUCCUAAUCAAACCUCCGUGAUUCUGAUUACUAAUUUUUUCUAAGUGUGUUGCUCCUCUCUAUGCUGUGACUCUUCCAUUGUCUGCCUUCAUCAUCCUUGUAUGGUCAAUUUCAAGAGCACGUAUAAGAACGGUGCUGCAUCUGAAUGUUCACUCAUAAGUGGGAGUUGAACAAUGAGAACACAUGGACACAGGGAGGGGAACAUCACACGCUGGGGCCAAGCGGAGGGAGAGCAUUAGGACAAAUACCUAAUGCAUGUGGGGCUUAAAACCUAGAUGAUGGGUUGAUGGGUACAGCAAACCACUAUGGCACAUGUAUACCUAUCUAACAAGCCUGCAUGUUCUGCACGUGUAUUCCAGAACUUAAAGUAUAAUAAUAAUAAAAGAAGAAUGGUGCCGCUUUCCUCAAAUGUCUCCACCGUGUCACUUAUCUUCUGAAUUUCUCCCAGUAUGAUCAUCUCUAAUCACGAAUCUCAUUAUGCCACUCUGCCAUUCAGAAGAGUUGAGUGUGUCCACCUCUUUCCUAACAGCAUUUGGCAGAACACAGAAAGUAUGUUUUGUUUUUCAUUGAAUUUUGUGCCAGCUUCACGCUGGCCUGCCCCAGUCUGUAAUUUAGGCUAGCUCCAUUAUAUGGUUUACUAAUUAUGUAAUGUGACAUGCUCAUUAUUUCAGUUAUCUCUUGCAGGACAACUGGCUACCCCAAAAUUUAAUAGCUAAAAGCAAUCAUUUUUAUUUUGCUAAUGAUUUUUUGGGGUAAGGAAUGUAGAAACGGCUCCAAAGGGUGGUCGUUUCUGAUCAAUAUUGCAUCAGCUGGGGUGGAAGAAUCUUCUUCAAAAUAGCUUCUUUACUCACAUCUGGUGCCUUAGGGCUUCUUGACCUCUCUCUCUCUUCAUGUGGCUUCUCAUCCUCCAGGCUUUCUUCACUUGGCUUACCUUCUUGCAGCAAGGGUAUCUAAAAGAAGUCUCACUUUUUACACGGAAGCUAGAUUCCAAGAGGCAGGCAGUAGAAACUGCGCAGCUAGCUAAAGGCUAUAACAGAAAAAGGCAUGGCAACACUUCUACCAUAGUCUAUUAGUGAAGGCAGUUCCCAAGACCCUCAGAUUUAAGAGCACAGAGAAAUAGAUCCCAAUUCUAGAUGGGAAAAUGUCCAGGUCACGUUGAAGAAGAGCACAUAGGGCAAGAGACACUGUUGCACCUGUAUUUGCAAAAGUAAAUCUAUAUGCAUGCUAUUUCAUUCUUCUAAAAUACUGAGUGGCUGUAGCUCUCAACGCUAAUCGCUCUGUCUAUCCUACUCAAAUGCACUUCGGAGCAAUUGCUCAACUUUGCACAUUCUCUACGCAACCUCUCUCCAAAAUGCCCCUACAAUACUUAGUGUAAUCUCUUUUAUGUUAGAGUGGAACACCAUUGUCUAUUUACUGACAUAUUUAUCUCUCCCGCCAGAAUAUAAGGAUAAGCUCAUGUCUUAUUUACUUUAGAAUACCUUUUGUGUAACACAGAUGCUGGCAUAUAGUAGAUAUUAAAUACAUGUUCUAUUGAUCACAAGACUAAUAAAAGGAAUAAAUAAAUUGUCCUAUUCAUACAUGUAUUAUCUAUGCCUGGGGUACUUCCUGGAACAAGUUUAGUACCUGGUGAUUAUCAGCUUCCAAGAUGGCCCCCAAUAGUCUCCACCUCCUGAAUUCACACUCUUUGUAGUUCCUUCCUGCAUUGUGCCAGAGUUGGUCAAUGUGACCAACAGGAUAUAGUAGAAGGGAUGGUAUUAUGCUAUAAAAGACGUUCAAUUUUUAUCUCUUUCUCUCUCAUAAUUCACCCUGAGAGAAACCAGCUGCCUUGUUGCAAGCAGUCCUACGGAGAGGCCCACAUAGUGAGAAACUGAGGCCUUCUGCCAACAGCCAGAGGAGGGAGCUUGCAAGCAGACCCUCCAGCCCCAGCUAAGCUUCAGGUGACUGUCCAGGCAACGGCUGGAGUAAAACCUCACAAGACGUCCAGAGCUAGAGCCACCCAGCUCAGCUGCUCCCAGAUUUCUGACUCUCAGAAACCAUGUGAGAUAAUAAAUGCUUGCUGUUUUAAGCUGCUAAAUUUUGAAGUAGUUUUUUACACAGCAAGAGAUAAUUAUUUUAUUUACUAAUACAUAUUCGUGAAUGCCAUCCAACAUAGAAAGAAUGAAGCAGUUCCAUUCUUCUUCUUGGAUUUUUAGCUAAAGUAUUUUGUUGUUACUACGACAGACACCUGGGUGGUAAUUGCUAUUUCAAGCUGGACACCUGGGCUUUUUCUCCACUACAAAGAACCUCUCAGUUACUCCCAGAGAAAGUAAUGAUUUCACUUCUUGGAGUAAGUGUUUGUGCUAAUUAGCAGCAUGACGAAAUACAGCAUGUCAAGCAAAAAACUAUUUGUGCUUACCUUCCAACACAUUCUCUUACAGAGAGGACAUGAUGCCAGAGAAAUAAACAUUAAACUACUGUACACUAUCAGACUUUGCAAUGUAGCCUUACUUCACUAGCUUUGUAUUUCAAUCCCUAAUUACUAAACUGAUAAGAUUUCUGAUUAUUUUGGUUGAAAGAAAAAGCCCUCCUUUUGUCUCAACAAAAUUAGAACAUGAAAGAAAAAAAUAAAUACAUGAAAUUACCUAGAGAAUAUAUUAUUUAUAUCUGCUUCUAAGAAAUUCAGCAGGGGAUUUUUAAAAUGCUGGAUUAGUAAUUUUAUAAUCUUUUAUAUUCAAAUAUACUUCCAUGAAAUGUUAGC
Molecule: long non-coding RNA, 10052 nt
Filed under: Homo sapiens (human)
Lineage: Eukaryota; Metazoa; Chordata; Mammalia; Primates; Hominidae
Description: HSALNT0383295
Source: RNAcentral